GAAACCGACCGGAAGAGUUCAGAGAAUCCCUUAAUGAAACCUCUUCUAAUAGCGAAGAGGAGCACAAUACUGGAAAGAUUGUUGGUGGUGUCUUGGGAGCAGUUGCAUCUGUCAUACUUGUUCUAGGCCUAGUCAUCAUGGUUGCAUGCAAGAAAUGCUAUAGCCAGGAACGACACGAGGAAACGGAAUC
Molecule: long non-coding RNA, 190 nt
Organism: Pomacea canaliculata
Lineage: Eukaryota; Metazoa; Mollusca; Gastropoda; Architaenioglossa; Ampullariidae
Exons: 3
Source: RefSeq, a predicted model, not a curated record